AUUGAACGCUGGCGGCAUGCCUUACACAUGCAAGUCGAACGGCAGCACGGGUGCUUGCCCCUGGUGGCGAGUGGCGAACGGGUGAGUAAUACAUCGGAACAUGUCCUGUAGUGGGGGGUAGCCCGGCGAAAGCCGGAUUAAUACCGCAUACGAUCUACGGAUGAAAGCGGGGGACCUUCGGGCCUCGCGCUAUAGGGUUGGCCGAUGGCUGAUUAGCUAGUUGGUGGGGUAAAGGCCUACCAAGGCGACGAUCAGUAGCUGGUCUGAGAGGACGACCAGCCACACUGGGACUGAGACACGGCCCAGACUCCUACGGGAGGCAGCAGUGGGGAAUUUUGGACAAUGGGCGAAAGCCUGAUCCAGCAAUGCCGCGUGUGUGAAGAAGGCCUUCGGGUUGUAAAGCACUUUUGUCCGGAAAGAAAUCCUUGGCCCUAAUACGGUCGGGGGAUGACGGUACCGGAAGAAUAAGCACCGGCUAACUACGUG
This 486-nucleotide ribosomal RNA is filed under the name uncultured bacterium. RNAcentral describes it as "partial 16S ribosomal RNA". It matches the Rfam family "Bacterial small subunit ribosomal RNA", at positions 30 to 507 of the family's 1533-position model. The record is from RNAcentral.